GCUUGGACGCUAACAACGGUCUAUGGGCCACAUGACUAUGAGCGCAAGCAAGCCUUUUUGAAUGAGAUUGCUGACAUUCACAACUCGAUGGCUGGGCCGUGGCUAAUCAUCGGCGACUUUAACCUGAUCACGGACCCAUGUGACAAAAACAAUGAUAGAAUUUGCCGCCGCUGGAUGAAUAAGUUUCGCCGCACUCUGAAUAGCUCUAGCUUUCGCGAGCUUCCUCUCAUUGAUAGAAGGUUUACAUGGAGUAACGAGCAAGACUCGCCCACACUAGUUAGGCUUGAUCGUGCCUUUUGCAAUGUUGCCUGGGAACUGAUGUUCCCGGCUGCGAAACUUCUCCUGCAAGCCUCGUCCAUCUCGGACCACUGCCCGCUUCUCCUCCGCAGCGAGGUGAUAAUCAAAACUAACCGAAGAUUCAGAUUCGAAGCAUACUGGCAGAACAUUCAGGGUUUCCAUGAGGUGGUGUAG
This 471-nucleotide ribosomal RNA is filed under the name Triticum aestivum (bread wheat). RNAcentral's name for it is "partial small subunit ribosomal RNA". Lineage: Eukaryota; Viridiplantae; Streptophyta; Magnoliopsida; Poales; Poaceae. The record is from RNAcentral.